RNAcentral lists this ribosomal RNA (547 nucleotides) under uncultured bacterium. RNAcentral's name for it is "bacterial SSU rRNA". It matches the Rfam family "Bacterial small subunit ribosomal RNA", at positions 358 to 916 of the family's 1533-position model. The record is from RNAcentral.
GGAAUAUUGGGCAAUGGAGGAAACUCUGACCCAGCGACGCCGCGUGCGGGAUGAAGGCCUUCGGGUUGUAAACCGCUUUCAGUAGGGAAGAAGCGAAAGUGACGGUACCUACAAAAGAAGCACCGGCUAACUAUGUGCCAGCAGCCGCGGUAAUACAUAGGGUGCAAGCGUUGUCCGGAAUUAUUGGGCGUAAAGAGCUCGUAGGUCGUUUGUUACGUCGGAUGUGAAAACCUGAGGCUCAACCUCAGGCCUGCAUUCGAUACGGGCAAACUAGAGUUUGGUAGGGGAGACUGGAAUUCCUGGUGUAGCGGUGGAAUGCGCAGAUAUCAGGAGGAACACCAAUGGCGAAGGCAGGUCUCUGGGCCAAUACUGACACUGAGGAGCGAAAGUCUGGGGAGCGAACAGGAUUAGAUACCCUGGUAGUCCAGACCGUAAACGGUGGGCACUAGUUGUGGGGACCUUCCACGGUUUCUGCGACGCAGCUAACGCAUUAAGUGCCCCGCCUGGGGAGUACGAUCGCAGGAUUAAAACUCAAAUGAAUUGACGG